GGAAGUAGCAAAUAUUCAAGUGGGAUCCUUGAAGACUGAAGUGGGGAAGGGUUCCAUGGUAACAGCAGUUGGACAUGGGUUAGUCGGUCCUAAGAGAUAGGGAACCUCCCUUAAAAGAACUCUCUUGUUAGUCUGGCCUAUCGGAUCGCCAAUCCACGGGAAAGAUUCUACAAUACUGGGAUGCAGAUUUUCAGCGGUAACGCAUAUG
This 208-nucleotide non-coding RNA is filed under the name Melampsora larici-populina 98AG31. Its description in RNAcentral is "Eukaryotic large subunit ribosomal RNA". It matches the Rfam family "Eukaryotic large subunit ribosomal RNA", at positions 1456 to 1655 of the family's 3401-position model. Lineage: Eukaryota; Fungi; Basidiomycota; Pucciniomycetes; Pucciniales; Melampsoraceae. The record is from Rfam by way of RNAcentral.